RNAcentral lists this ribosomal RNA (492 nucleotides) under uncultured bacterium. RNAcentral's name for it is "partial 16S ribosomal RNA". It matches the Rfam family "Bacterial small subunit ribosomal RNA", at positions 29 to 507 of the family's 1533-position model. The record is from RNAcentral.
AGUGAACGCUGGCGGUAGGCCUAACACAUGCAAGUCGAACGGCAGCACAGUAAGAGCUUGCUCUUACGGGUGGCGAGUGGCGGACGGGUGAGGAAUACAUCGGAAUCUACUUUUUCGUGGGGGAUAACGGAGGGAAACUUACGCUAAUACCGCAUACGACCUACGGGUGAAAGCAGGAGAUCUUCGGACCUUGCGCGAUUGAAUGAGACGAUGUCGGAUUAGCUAGUUGGCGGGGUAACGGCCCACCAAGGCGACGAUCCGUAGCUGGUCUGAGAGGAUGAUCAGCCACACUGGAACUGAGACACGGUCCAGACUCCUACGGGAGGCAGCAGUGGGGAAUAUUGGACAAUGGGCGCAAGCCUGACCCAGCCAUGCCGCGUGGGUGAAGAAGGCCUUCGGGUUGUAAAGCCCUUUUGUUGGGAAAGAAAAGCAGCAGGUUAAUACCCCGCUGUUCUGACGGUACCCAAAGAAUAAGCACCGGCUAACUUCGUG